Molecule: long non-coding RNA, 429 nt
Organism: Mercenaria mercenaria
Lineage: Eukaryota; Metazoa; Mollusca; Bivalvia; Venerida; Veneridae
Exons: 5
Source: RefSeq, a predicted model, not a curated record
CUGCAAUGCUUAUAUAGAUGGAAAUUUCAAAUUGGCUGCCUCUGUAUACAUAUAGAUGUUGUACAAGCAGGACUCUCAAUCUCACUCAAGUUGAUGGGUCAGUUGCACGAAUGGUAACUGUAAUCCACACUGGUCACGGGAAAAAGUGCCGCUGUGUGCGAAUCAAUUGUAGUUUCUCCGGAAAAGAUGUUACAGCCAGUGUAUGAAGACUGAAUUUUUGAUAGGUCACAGGUGCUCUCGCAAAGACUGAUGGCCUGGCAGCAUAAACUAUUCUAUGGUUAUAGGGGUAAUGUCUUUAAACAGAAGCAUGCUGUUGUGGAGUGAAAGUGCACAAACCAUUGAUAACCCUUUGGAGAAUCAGUACCAGAUGUCUUUUCAAAUGUUUGCCAUUCUGAAAAUUUUUUUGACUUGAGCAGUGUCAAACAGUCU